GGGGCCUUGGCGCAAUUGGUAGCGCACCUGCUUUGCAAGCAGGGGGUUGCGGGUUCGAGUCCCGCAGGCUCCACCA
This 76-nucleotide transfer RNA is filed under the name Demequina lignilytica. RNAcentral describes it as "tRNA-Ala". It matches the Rfam family "tRNA". Rfam says of the family: Transfer RNA (tRNA) molecules are approximately 80 nucleotides in length. Their secondary structure includes four short double-helical elements and three loops (D, anti-codon, and T loops). RNAcentral also lists the same sequence under 1 other name. The record is from RNAcentral. Lineage: Bacteria; Bacillati; Actinomycetota; Actinomycetes; Micrococcales; Demequinaceae.